This 497-nucleotide ribosomal RNA is filed under the name uncultured bacterium. Its description in RNAcentral is "partial 16S ribosomal RNA". It matches the Rfam family "Bacterial small subunit ribosomal RNA", at positions 28 to 507 of the family's 1533-position model. The record is from RNAcentral.
GACGAACGCUGGCGGCGUGCCUAAUACAUGCCAGUUGAGCGCUGAAGGUUGGUACUUGUACCAACUGGAUGAGCAGCGAACGGGUGAGUAACGCGUGGGGAAUCUGCCUUUGAGCGGGGGACAACAUUUGGAAACGAAUGCUAAUACCGCAUAAAAACUUUAAACACAAGUUUUAAGUUUGAAAGAUGCAAUUGCAUCACUCAAAGAUGAUCCCGCGUUGUAUUAGCUAGUUGGUGAGGUAGAGGCUCACCAAGGCGAUGAUACAUAGCCGACCUGAGAGGGUGAUCGGCCGCAUUGGGACUGAGACACGGCCCAAACUCCUACGGGAGGCAGCAGUAGGGAAUCUUCGGCAAUGGACGAAAGUCUGACCGAGCAACGCCGCGUGAGUGAAGAAGGUUUUCGGAUCGUAAAACUCUGUUGGUAGAGAAGAACGUUGGUGAGAGUGGAAAGCUCAUCAAGUGACGGUAACUACACAGAAAGGGACGGCUAACUACGUG